Molecule: transfer RNA, 75 nt
Filed under: Saprospiraceae bacterium
Lineage: Bacteria; Pseudomonadati; Bacteroidota; Saprospiria; Saprospirales; Saprospiraceae
Description: tRNA-Val
Rfam family: tRNA
About the family: Transfer RNA (tRNA) molecules are approximately 80 nucleotides in length. Their secondary structure includes four short double-helical elements and three loops (D, anti-codon, and T loops).
Source: RNAcentral
CGGGGCGUAGCUCAGUUGGUUUAGAGCGCCGCCUUGACAGGGCGGAGGUCACUGGUUCGAAUCCAGUCGCCUCGA